Molecule: ribosomal RNA, 400 nt
Filed under: Duttaphrynus melanostictus (Asian common toad)
Lineage: Eukaryota; Metazoa; Chordata; Amphibia; Anura; Bufonidae
Description: partial 12S ribosomal RNA
Rfam family: Bacterial small subunit ribosomal RNA
Source: RNAcentral
UGUUUCAAAUUACUGGGAUUAGACCCCACUAUGCCUAGCCGUAAACUUUUAUUUACACCCAAUCGCCAGGGAACUACGAGCUAAGCUUAAAACCCAAAGGACUUGACGGUGCCCCAUAUCCCCCUAGAGGAGCCUGUCCUAUAAUCGAUAAUCCACGUUCAACCUCACCAUCUUUAGUUAAUCAGCCUGUAUACCUCCGUCGUCAGCUUACCACGUGAGCGCCAAUUAGUGAGCUUAAUGUUUUUCACCAAUACGUCAGGUCAAGGUGCAGCAAAUGAAAUGGGAAGAGAUGGGCUACACUCUCUAUUUUAGAAAAAACGAAAAACUACCUAUGAAACCUAGUUAGAAGGCGGAUUUAGCAGUAAAAAGGAAUCAGCAUGUCCAUUAUCCGCAGCUGGUG